AAAUUAAAAAGAGAUCCGACAUAUUGUGUGGUAGGGAAAUGAGACACUGAAGAAUUUUGUAAAUAACAGUCUGGAACAUUUUAAGAAAAUCAUUUUCUCUGCUAUUCAUGAAUCAACUCUGGUGGCUAAGGACCAAAAUAACUGUGUAUCUGUGUGGCUAGACACAUUGUGUAAAAAUCUAGGUGUCAUUUGACCCCUCCAAGAGAAGAGCUAAGAAAUAUUGGAACACCAGGUGAUAACUGACAUUGAAUUCCUCAAAGAAGCUAUGAAUGAAUAUCUAGAUAUUGAACCAAAACAUUGAGAAAUUGUGAAAGGAUAUUUCUAACGAAAAUUGAAUCUGACACUCAGAUCAUGUUUCGAUCA
RNAcentral lists this long non-coding RNA (363 nucleotides) under Sarcophilus harrisii (Tasmanian devil). RNAcentral describes it as "lncRNA (ENSSHAG00000031536.1)". The record is from RNAcentral. Lineage: Eukaryota; Metazoa; Chordata; Mammalia; Dasyuromorphia; Dasyuridae.